RNAcentral lists this ribosomal RNA (424 nucleotides) under uncultured bacterium. RNAcentral's name for it is "bacterial SSU rRNA". It matches the Rfam family "Bacterial small subunit ribosomal RNA", at positions 202 to 622 of the family's 1533-position model. The record is from RNAcentral.
AAGACCUUUGCGCUUUUGGAGCGGCCGAUGUCUGAUUAGCUUGUUGGUGAGGUAAAAGCUUACCAAGGCUUCGAUCAGUAGCUGGUCUGAGAGGACGGCCAGCCACACUGGGACUGAGACACGGCCCAGACUCCUACGGGAGGCAGCAGUGGGGAAUUUUGGACAAUGGGGGCAACCCUGAUCCAGCCAUGCCGCGUGAGUGAAGAAGGCCUUCGGGUUGUAAAGCUCUUUCAGCCGGAACGAAACGGUUACGGUUAAUACCCGUGACUACUGACGGUACCGGAAGAAGAAGCACCGGCUAACUACGUGCCAGCAGCCGCGGUAAUACGUAGGGUGCAAGCGUUAAUCGGAAUUACUGGGCGUAAAGCGUGCGCAGGUGGUUUUGUAAGUCAGAUGUGAAAUCCCCGGGCUUAACCUGGGAACU